AAGGUUGGUGUCUGUAGUGUCUCCAGCACAGCAGGGUCUGGUCUGUGUCCACCAGGCUGCUUCUGCCAUGCUCAAUCUCACCUUACUCUUGAAGGAAAUAAAAGGCUAGGAAGCCAGAAGAAAUACUCACACCGAGGGCACUGGCCCACCAGGGGUGGCAUUAGCAAAAGAGACUCAAUGAGGAUGAGAAAACAGAGAUGACAGAGACCCAAAUAACAUUUGAAUUGGACUCUACCUGCAAGUGGAGCUUUACCAUCCAGGCCUCACCUCCACCAAAGACAAGUAACAGCAGGACCAACCUACAUGCAAAAGAAACUUCAGUCCCAUACAGGUAGGCUGAUGACCCACACAAAGCGCAGCAAGAAUCCUUGUCCACAUAGGCUCUCCUAGAUUGGACUGGCUGGAACCUCUCACAGUGCCAUUUCAGUCAAAGCCCUGGGAAAACAGCCAGUUCCUCCACUGUGUCCCAGUAUACAAGAAAACAGAUUCCUAUUGAAGUUAUGCAAACAAACACAUUGCCAUGAAUUAAGAAUACUCAUAAAUGAACUACAAAUUCUGGAGAAAGUAGGCAGAGAACAAAAUAUGCCUUAAUUUCAGUUUACAAAAGUAUAAUCUACUCAAUUGUUAAAGGCUAUAAAUAGCUCAAAAGGAAAAAUGUUCUCCAGACUCUGAAGAAUCAGCAAUGUUUCAAACAAACAAAAAGGCCAUGAAAAAUUAUUUCAGUCCUCUGUCAGUUCAAUCCAUGCAAUCAACUCCUGCUCUACUUCAUAUUGGGUUAGUAAUCUUUAUGCACAUCAGCCUUUCAACUAGUACCCUGGAAAUAUCCUCUCUAAUCCAAUGGCACAAUCUUCAAAGUUAACAGAAACCUGCCUUCAAGAGUUCUUUUCAUGAACUUCUCCAAAGAAGAAAACCCUGGACUAUAGCUGAUUAGAAGUCACUUUUUGAGAAGGAUCAAAGCAAAACAACAAUUGUGAAUGACGAAAGUCUUAGGACAGCUGUAAAGAUACAGUUGUCAAUGACAGUGGGUUAUAUCUAUGGCAUACAACAAUUUAACAUAAUAAUCAUAAUUACUACUGACAAUAUAUACUAAGACAUAUCCGAAUUUGAGGAAUCUUAUACAAUCCUGGGGCACAUAUUAACGACAUAUCUAUAUAAAUAUAACCCAAAGGAAGCUAAACACCACCUCAGAUUUGACAGUGCUUUCUGAAUAAUUCUAACAUAACAAAUAAGCCUAAAUUGUCUCUCUUGGGCUUCAGGGAAUUUAAUAUUCAAAAAAGUUAGUUUGAGGUCAAAAAGACUGAAUUUAGAACUUGAAAUUUUGCUCUUAGAAAGUUUGCCAAAUAUCAGUGUUAAGAUACUUGAUAUCACAAAAUAGAACCACAGGUCACUAUAAAAUAGUCAUUUAUUUAGCCAAAAUGAUAAAACAAAAACAUUUACCUUUUGAUAGAGAGGAGAUUCAGCUUCCCAAACAAUAAAACCUAAUAAACACAGCAUGAGGCCAACGAAAUCUGUCUCUCCCCCUCCAUUUUUUCGCUUUAGUUUACAAAAAAGGUAUACAAAAAUCUUUUAUCUCUUACUAAUAUUACACAAAUAUUUUGUUCAAAAGAGAAAAUCAGAAUUUUACCUCUGUAUGGUGUAUUAUUAAAGUUAAAGCUAAUUUUGAUAAAACCUUACAAACAAAUCUAAUUUUAAUCAUAAGGUAAGAUUACCAUAUACUUUUUAUAAUCGUUUAUGAUUUUCUGUUAAAGAACAGAUCAAUGCUUCAAGAAACCCUGUUAUUCAGACAUAUGGGCCUAGACGCUAGCCUUGCACCAGUGCACUUUUGAUAUUAAUGUUUAAUUUACAGAACUAAUGUUAUCCCUCAAAAUUGGCCCUUACAGUCUCAUAGGCCCACCUCUUCUGCAAUAGUCCCUGGGCCUAGAGGGUUGAAUAGUUUUAAUUUCUGGCCCUGUGUCUCACAAAAGCGGUUCAUUUUGAUUGUCACCUUCUCCCAGAUCUGAGGGUCUGAAGAUGAGCCUUUGACAGGUAUCAGUGCUCAAAAUUUAGCAGGGGUUGGUGUCUUUUUCAGACCCAGGAGUCAAAGACCUGUAACUUAACAGCAGAAGGAUUAGUUAAAGGGAUAUUAUUUAGGCUACAGAAAGUUCCAUCAUUCUAACAUGUCACAAGUUAAAAUAUUGUGAUUUGGCAUUCGGUAGUUGCUGCCUGCACACUCCAAACCACUGUAUUAAAGUAUUUAGGUUACUCAUUGCGAGUAUCUAGUUGCUAGCGUUCUGGUGACAGAACUGUGACCCAAAGCAUCCAAAAGUGAUGGGGCCUUUACCAAACAUAUCAAAACAAAACAACUAGCUUUUCUCUCCAUCAUUAAAAAAUGGUAAAUGCAAAUAUCGGUUUUAGAAAUUCAAUGAGGAUAAAUAAGCUCCUUUCACUUAAAUAGUAUACAACAGAGCAAAGACGAGGUAAGAACAAGCACACAGUAAUUUCUUUUCAGCUAUGUUUAAAGAACAUCAUCCCAUAUUUCCAAGAUUAGUUCCUAGAUACAGUACUGAGAACCAAUUAAGUAACUUUCACCACUAAAAUCUUCAAACCAGCGCAACACUUGUACAUAUUUUUUUCAUGUACACAUAUGAAAGCCCAUCAGUGAUUAACGGCUUGAGAUUAAAAAUCACUAGAAAGUCUCACAUUCUUUAUUACUACUUAAUCCAAGUGAAUGUCAACACAACAAAAUAAUGGCCAACACAACUAAAUUUUAAUAAUGGUCAACACAACUAAAUUAGCUUCAGAAUAAUCCUAAGCAAUACAAUUUCAUUAAGGAUACAGCCAAUCUUUCCUGAACAUUAAAAUGUUGUACUCAUAUCACCGUGUUUCCUCACUACCUAAAGGAAAGAUCUUGAAACCAACUGAAAUUAUUGACUGAAUUGAAUUACCUUGGAAAUAAACACCAUUUAAACAUUUUCAUUCUCACCCACUUCUUCAAGUAACAAAAUAAAUAAUGUGCUAUUUCUGCUCAGAACUUCCAAAAA
Molecule: long non-coding RNA, 3020 nt
Organism: Pan troglodytes (chimpanzee)
Lineage: Eukaryota; Metazoa; Chordata; Mammalia; Primates; Hominidae
Exons: 2
Source: RefSeq, a predicted model, not a curated record